UUUUUUUUUUUUUUUUUUUAAGCUUUUAUCUAUUUAUUCAUGAGAGAUGCACAGAGAGAGAGGCAGAGACCUAGGCAGAGGGCGAAGCUGGCUCCCUGUGGGGAGCCUGAUCCAGGACUCGAUCCCAAGAUCCUGGGAUCAUGACCUAAGCCAAAGGCAGACACUCAACCACUGAGCCACCCAGGUGUCCAGGUCAUCCCAUUCUAAUUAUGGCUACACCCCACUGGGUAGAUCACUCCAACAAGCCACCCCACUGAAGAGCAGCUUCAGGGAUCUCUUCUACCUCUGAAUUCUGUGAGAGAACCCUCCAUUGCUGGCUCAGCCUCGGAGCCCAGAAAUUCCUAUAGGCUGAUGAUCCCCACAAAGCCAAAGGAGCCAAAGUCUUUUCUGGUCUUGAAAGACAUUGAGGCAGGGAGAAGAUUAAAGAAGCUGUUUGCCUUCGUCUUGUUUGUCCUAUCCUCUCAUGGUCGCUAAACAGUUUAGAGCAAUACUGUUUGUUCUCAGGGAAAGAAACAACCUCAAAGAGAGUUUCAAAACUCACUGUCAAGGUCAACUAACCAGGGUCAAACAAAACACCCCAGUAGUUCACAGACCCACAAGCAGAGAAACACUGGGUCUGUGUCACCGUCCUAGAACUCACCCUGGUCCUCGCUCUCAGCAUCGUGAUGUCUUUGUGUCAUCUUCUGGUUUUCUGCUCCCCUUGACAUUCAUUUUACUUUGAUCUUCCUUAUAGAACAAUAUUAGAGGGGGGUGAGCAGGAUUUGUUCUGGGCCCCUACACUAUCCUGGAGACAGCCCCAGAGAUGCAUGGGAUUCAGAGCUGGUCUGUCAGGGAUCAGUCCCAGAGCUGUGUCAUCUGUGGUUUUCUCCCAUGGAGUUCAGGCCAUUUGGCUUCUUUGAUGCAGGGGUGUUUUGCACAGAGCAUUCAGUAGGAUGGAGACAGUGGAGUUUCCAUGCGGGCUCUGAGGAAAAUGCCAAAUGACUAAUAUAAAAGCAUCGUCUGAGACUUGACCAGAGUGCAUUAAAAGUUAUAUCCUAGGGAAAUCAUGUUUGUUCUUUUAAAUAUGGCAACUCUUCAGCCAGAAGCAGCAAAUGAAGUGCCUGUUCCUUCACAUGAUGGGAAGGGCUGCUCGGUUCACACUGUGAGGCAAAUGUAAGUAGAAUAUUGCUGAUUCAGGCUAACUUGCUGCCUCAUUAGGGUUACUUGGUAUUUCAUUUGAAACCUGAAUUUCUCACAAAAGCAUAACAGAGGGGGACAUACAAUUGCCUGAAGUUAAGGCGAGGCAUCAGGGCCACAAGACUCUACCACACACCGCUUCCGCUCCUCUCCCACACUCUGCCCUGGUUUGGCUACAUUUCCCUUUCCCUCCAUGGUCCUAUGGAAGACUUAUUCCUACAGACAUAUUCUGGAGCCUGAGCCAUGGAUGUUCAUACUUCCAAGCUGGCAGUGUUGAAAUAAAACCUACAUCUAAGAGAGCUCUGUACCGGCAGACAUCUUAGUUCCCUUCUGUUUAAUCAUCAGCCCUGGAGUCAUAAGGGAAUUCUACGCAGGAAGGUGGGGGCGCUGGGUGGUUAGGAAAGGUCUGGAAUCUGGAAUUCUGACUGACAGACCAAAGCAGUCUGGAUAAUGCAGAAAGUUCUGCAGGUGGAUGAAAAUGAGCAGCAAAGAUUUACUCUUGGGACGUGGCCAUUGGUCAUUUCCGGCCCUACAGAGCAACACCCUGCUAUUUCUCCCCACGGGAUAAGAGGCAUUACGCGGAGCCACGUUUGAGAACUCAAUGUGUAGUUUGUCAGUCGUGUUUUGGAACACACCAGAGUGUCUCGACGGUCUUGAGGUGGUCGUAUCUGAGAAAGUCAGACCUAGACCAUGGAAGGGGCGAUUUACUGUCACACUUAAGAUAUAAGAUAAUGCUAUCUUAGGGGCUUGCGUGCCCUCCAGCUACAACAGGGUGACCUAAGGCCAAAGAAGUGAGAAAUCCAUUUCUAAGCAUCACUCUGCUCCUGCUUCUUCAAGGAUAUGGGCCCGAUGGUCCACUUCUUGCAAUAAUUGAUUCGCUCACUGUGUGGAGGAGCUGUGGUCUCUUCCCUUGGGGCUAAAGCCACACCAAAUGGCAGGGAGAUGCCCCUUCUCCUCUAUUGUUACUGACUCUGUUUCUUUGCCCUGUCCUCUCACGUGGAACUGGUGGCAGCCUCUGCUCCCUGCUUCUACCUAUAGCGGUGGGCAGUCAAACCUACGUGUGAGAGAGAUGACUAGUUCCCAGGCUCAGGCAAAACAGACCAGGUCAGUGGCUCACAACUUUAGCCACAUCGGAAUCCCCUGGAGGACUCAUCAGCCCACAGGUUAUUGGGCCCUGCCCCAGAGUUUCUAAUUGAGUGGGGGGUGGGGGGAGGCCUGAGAAUGGGCAUUUCUAACAAGAUCCCCAGCAGUGCUGCCUCUGCUGGUCUGGGGACAGUCCUUUGCAAUUGUGGGGGCAGGUUAUGCUGUAGUAACAAGUGACCCCUGGAUCUGAGGGAUAUUUUCCACUCAUGUCUCAUGUCUGACACAGGUCAGCUGCAGCUCUGCUCUGUGUCAUCUCCCCCCAGGACCCAGGGAGAUAGAAUAAGCUCUGGCUGGAGUAUUGCCCGUCCCAUGGCAGAGGGCAGAGGACUUGGUAACAGCUCUUAAAGCUUUGGCUUAUAUUUCAGUGGCUGAAUUAAGUCACAUGGCCGACUUUGAUAUCAGUGGCAAGUGAAGGGCAAUUUCUGUAAAUAAUUACACAUCCCCCGGUGUCAGUUAUCUCCUUCUUCCAUAGUCAAUGAGCUCAUGGUUUGACUGCACAAAUGGCUGAGUAAAGAGUAGAUUGUCCUGCAGCUUGGGUAUUGGUCCAUACCAGUUAGAGCCAACGGGAUGUAAGCAGACUGGUAGAGUCAUUCCAGAAACCUUCCUAAGAGGAUAGAACAUGUGUGUCUUUUCUGUGUUUCAUACUUUCACCAUCCUCUUGCCUACAAUACAUGUGCUAGCAUUUUCCAGCAGGAGGUCAAUAGAAAAAAUAGAAGGUAUAUGGAACCCCAUACCAGCCCCAGACCACCUACCCACACUGCUAGAUGAGAGACAAAUCAAAUCCUAUCUUGUUGAAAUCACUGUUAUCUUGGCUUUUCUGACAUUCACAUCUGAAUAUAAUCACAUCUAAGGCACCCUCAGAAAGGCUCUCUUUCCAAAUCUGCUUGUUUCCCAUCUGUAGCUCAGCUCUUUUCUGAGCUUCUGAGUUUAUUUCUUUCCUCCACACCCGCGUGGUGAGAAUGUCUACAAGAGAUCAACUCUAGCUUCAUUCCUUCUAGGAACAUAGACUAAGACUAGAGAUGCAGAGAGUCUGAUGGGGGGAAGAGACAAUGAAAAGGAAGAACUUGUCUGUCUAGAUCUUUCCUAAAGAACUUCCCCAGUUGGCUUUAUCACAAAGCAACACAGUUGACAAUGUUCCCUUUAUUGCCAACCCUCCCCCUCAAUUUAGGAAGUUUCUAGGUUGACAUGGUUUGCAUGCCAUGUGUCACCUCAUCUGACCACUAGAAGCAAUGGAGCCUACAUGUUUAAAGAUCGUGGUUGGCAGCCAGGUGGUCCUGUUUCUCUACCUUCAUUUUUAACUAUCCAUCUCGGUCUCUGCACUCUGAUAGUCUGUUUUUGUCUUCUGUAGUCCACAUAUCCCCACAAACAGGGGCCGCUGGACAAGAGGAAAGAAGUGUUCACAAAAGUCAAAAGGGGGAAAGAGGCAUCAAGUGGGAGCUCACCAGCCUCGAAGCUGAAAACCAAGUCAUGCACACAAGGCCUCACUGGGACAUAGUAAAGAGCUUACAAAAGUAAUCUAGAAUGUUCUAUCAAUGCACAGAAAAGUUACCACUUUAGUUACACAAACAUAUGU
RNAcentral lists this long non-coding RNA (3892 nucleotides) under Canis lupus familiaris (dog). RNAcentral's name for it is "lncRNA (ENSCAFG00000058793.1)". The record is from RNAcentral. Lineage: Eukaryota; Metazoa; Chordata; Mammalia; Carnivora; Canidae.